Molecule: long non-coding RNA, 1822 nt
Organism: Junco hyemalis (dark-eyed junco)
Lineage: Eukaryota; Metazoa; Chordata; Aves; Passeriformes; Passerellidae
Source: Ensembl
GACCUUUUAAGUCAUAUCCUUGUGGUAAUUUGAUUUCCCUCUGCAUUAAAGACAUUAACAUUUUAAGUGUCUUAGAUGCUGAUGUGACACAUGGACCAGUGGAAAUGGUGGUUUUGCAUGUGCUGGCAUUCAGCCCCUCUGAGCAACGUCCCAAACACCAAACUGCUUUUGGAGCAUCUUUGCCCCAAAAGGAGCUGCUACCGUGCUGAAAUUAGAGCCCAGAUCACUCUUCAGAGAAUCAAUUUGCCUGAUCCUUGGGGGAUAUGACAUUAGCAUGGUGGCUAUCAUCAGUCAGAGGGCUCCCUGAUCUGCAGGCACGACCUACCAGCAGGAUCUGAGCAGGAUCACCAGGUCCCUGGCCUAGGUCACCCUCAGGGUGGCAGUGGCUCGCUACAAGGGUGCACUGCAAGGAGGCAGUGGAAGAUUGUGCAGCACCUGCAAGGACCCAGUCCCCUUCUGUGUGGGAUGUGUUAGCAGCUGAAGAGCUGAGCUCCUGCUUUUCUUUAUGUGCUCUCCUGACUCAGCCGAUCCCUGUUACAAGCACAGCUGCACUCAAGAGAAGAACAUGUUAUGAAGAGAGUUCAAACUGGCUCUUCUGCUGUGGAAACCACAUCUGUUCAAGCUGGCAUGGAGGACUGUUCUCAGGAGGAGGGAGAUGCAAAGUUCAAGGGAACUGCCUGCGAAGACACACAGUGACGGCGCUGGGUUAUAUAAUGUGCCUUGGUGUGAGGAAGCUCUUUGUUCUAUUUACAAAUCCCUGUAUUACUGACAAGGAAACUUUGAUGGCUGCCUUCCAAAGACAACAAUGAAGAAAGAAAGAAAGAAAGGUUUUACAAGUAUAAUUACAAAGCAAUUAAAUGUGGGAGCAGUGAGGAAGACUGCACCAAGGAACACUGAGCCUAUUUGUUUGAAAACUCCACAGGUGCUGGUUACAGCUUUGAAACACCAAGGUUAUUGUGUCUGAAGAGUAUUGUUUCAUCCACAAAGAGGUCAAAUACCAGAGAACAUUCUUGGAUAUUAUGUGAGAUUUAAGCGAGACCUGUUCCUCAAAGACUACCUUAUAAACCAGUUUAUCUGAUACAAAAGCUCCCAAACCUGGAGAAAACUCAGGGUGAAAGUGGAAUACCAAGGGAGAGGAUAGAGCAGAGGCCACAAAAUCAUGAAUAAUGCAGAGCAGAGGGAUGGAGAAUGAAUAAUCACUAUUUGCCAUAGCACGAGAGCACUGAUUUUCAUUAAAAAACAAUCACAAUCAUUUUUCUCUGCAGAAACAGGCUUUUAUUAAACUGAUACCUCUAAGCCAAUCUCUGGGACUCUGCCUCUACCAUUCACUUUUCUGUACUCCUCAGUAAAUAUUUAGACUGAAUGGUGUAGAGCUGUAAUGUCCUCUGGGAAUAACCCUUGGUACCUGUCACUAAAUCCAUUCUAUAUAUUUGCUGGUGAACAGUUUGGCUGUAUACUAGAUGCUGUUCUUGCUAUUCAAUGAAAAAUUUCCCUGGGUUCUGUGGGGAAAAAAGACAUUUAUUUGGUGAAAGCACAUUAUAAAGAAUUAUAAGGUAGGGAUAGUCCUUCCAAGUUUUGUUCAAACUCCAUUUCAGACAUCAGGAGUUCUUUAUCUCAGCUGUCUAUCUAGGAAAAUAUUUACCCAUUAUAAUGACCUAAUCACAGGAAGGGGCCAGGGCCCAAUUUUCUCGUUUGCCUGCCUGUCUCAUUGUGGGGUGAGGCUUGAUGCAGGGCGUGUACCAGUCCCAGAUCCCUGUGCAGAGCCUGCAGUUGGUGCUCAACACCAACAGCGUUAACCAAUGCAAUGUUCUGGGUGCUGGGC